Molecule: long non-coding RNA, 1090 nt
Organism: Pyrus x bretschneideri (Chinese white pear)
Lineage: Eukaryota; Viridiplantae; Streptophyta; Magnoliopsida; Rosales; Rosaceae
Exons: 3
Source: RefSeq, a predicted model, not a curated record
GGUGCAAGUGUUGAAAUUGAAGGGCUGUGAUCUAUCAUAAGCAUCUCCAAUCAAACGCUGCGUGGUCAAUCGAAGGGCUGUGAUCAGCCGAGCCUAUGAGUAGAACCGGGUUCUGAAGACCUGUAUAAUUCACGACUAAAACCCAGUUUUUCACGCUCUUUCACUUAAUAGCAGCGUCCCCUGCAUAAAGCAGUCGCCGUCCGCAAGCUCCUCCAGAGGAUCGCUCCCUCGUCCACGCCCGCGACUACGACAACCGCACCUCAAUCCUCCAACCGCCGUCGAACCAAUUACCCCCAAUUUCCCUCCAAUUUCAUUUUCAAUUUCGUUGCUUUUGCAUAAUCAAAAUAUUAGUUUGUGUUUUUUUCAUUGGAAGAUUGUAUUUUGAAUGUUUGUUUCGGUUGCAGGGUCCUCUUGAACCCGAACUGUAUCUAGUCGGAACUCCGAUCAGAAACCUUGAAGUAUCUCCCACCUUCUAGUUGAAGGAUGUAAUGGUGUGCCACUAGGCAAAGCUACGUGUGGAUGAAAGCAUCCCUGUUAUUCCUGUACCUGGGCCGUCCGCUUAUGUGGUUGCUCUCUCUGCCUCUGGCCUCUUGGACCCUAGAUCACAGUGGGGAAUAACCGUGCUCGUCAAGUUUUCAAGCAUUGGAGGAGAAGAUCAUAGACGAGAGCAAUGAAAGUUUCAGGAGUUCGAGCAUACAAUGAGGCUAGCAACCGAUUAUUUAUUUAUUUAUUUUUGUUAGUUUGGAAUUUAAGUAGACAUUUAAUUUUGAGAAGAACAAAAAUUAGCACAUAUGUAUGUUAAGCAACAAUCGUCUUAAUGAUUUUAGAAUAUUUGAAUGAAUUUCAAUAAAAUUUUAACAGUAUGCUCCAAUUUAGUUGGUUUCAAAAUGAAGAAACUUGAAAGAAUAUAAAAAAUACUACUAUUGUUGAGGUUACUAGGGAGUAGAAUACUCAGAUCAGACAUUUGGUUUACACCAUGAGUCCAUCAUGAAACUUGAAAGAAUAUACUACUAUUACUAACGUGUAGAAUUCUCUUCCCUCCUAAUUCAAUCCCCUUCCUUCUUCUCUUCUCACAUUGUCUUCUGUCUUU